This 435-nucleotide ribosomal RNA is filed under the name Triticum aestivum (bread wheat). RNAcentral's name for it is "partial small subunit ribosomal RNA". Lineage: Eukaryota; Viridiplantae; Streptophyta; Magnoliopsida; Poales; Poaceae. The record is from RNAcentral.
UGUCUCACGCCCGCCAUUUUCCCGUCAUCAGAUUCUGGCACGCCCGGUAUGGAGGGACAUGUCCAGCAAUUUGUCACUCUCCGCUUUGGCAACCUCUGGCUAGAUGUGCCUAUUGGUCCGCUUGUGGCUGCAUUUAGCAAGAGUUUGGAAACAACAACUACAUCCCCAACUAAGCCAGAAGAAAAGGAAGUCUCUUCUGCACUGAAGGAAGGGUUUACUCCUGUUCUCACAAAGUCAGCAAAGAGAAGGAUGCGUGCAGCUGCAAGAGCAUCUAAAGAUCAGCAUGUACGCGAAGCUUCUUCAUCUACUUCAGUUCCUCCUAGUUUCACAAGGAUGUCACCUACCAAGGUCAUGAGCCAUGAGAUACCAUUAAAGGUUGUUCGCAUGACACCCGAAGAGUGGCCCGUUCUUGCAAAAUGUACGGGAUCACUAUAG